Zonotrichia albicollis (white-throated sparrow) is the source of this 1624-nucleotide long non-coding RNA. The record is from Ensembl. NCBI's taxonomy places the organism in Eukaryota, Metazoa, Chordata, Aves, Passeriformes, Passerellidae.
CAGUUCAUCUGUGCUGCUGGAAGAUUUUUAAUUUGCUCAACUGGAAACGAUGAGGAGAGUUGAUUAGAUGGCAACUGUAAUUUAUUCCCAGCUGUCAGCAUUUCUGGCACCCUCAGGGAGCCUUGGGGCAGCCACAGCAGUCCUGUCCCCGCUGGGACUGGUCUGGGGUGCCCCUGAUCAGACCUGAAUGUGUUUGUGGUCAUGGCUGAUGGUGUGGCUCCUUGUGCUCCGUGAAUCACUCUCGGUCCAAGAAGCUGGGUGAGAUUCCUGUCCAAGAAGCUGGGUGAGGAAGCCUGUCACAUCAGGGACAUUCCAGGGAGAAGCAGCAUCAUGGUCUGAAGCAUCCCGGGGCAGGGAUUGGGCUCCCUCCUGGAUUGCUCAGCUGCCUCCCAACACAUCUGGAUUCUGCCACCACUCUCUGCUGGAGGAGCAGCUCUCCAAAUGCCUCCAGUGUCUCCAGCCCCUCAGACAAAGAAUGCAGUGCAGGAAGCCAAAUCCACUUUAUUAUCGUUAUCGAGGAAGAGAAAUCCUUUUCCAUAAGUGGUUCUGUGUCAUUAACAGCAAAAUAAGCAACUGCUGACAGCCAGGCUGCUCUGGAGAGCAAGCCCACAUCCAUCCUAGAAACUGGGACAUGCCAACGUGGUGAUGUCCCCUUUCAUCUCCUUUUUCCUCUCCUGCCAGUCCACUGGGGACCCUGGGAUGCUGACAGCAGCGGCAGGCGGCUGUGGAAGAGUUAAGGGUCUGUGUUUUCCACCGCCACUCUUUCUUCUCAGGGAAGACAAAUGAUUCAUUAUAUUCCCCAUCAUUUUCACUGAUGCCUGGCUGCCUCCCAUCGAGAUGUUGGGCCUGUGCCACUCAAGUCGUUAGCGUGAUCCCCAAGAAGAGCUGUGGAGAGCCGUGUUCCCUAUUUGUCUGUAGCAGCUCCUGCCAGGGGCAAGCCAGUGUGAUCAGCUCUGGUUUUCUUUCAGAUCUUCACAAAAAUGCCAACACAGAGAGAUGUGGCAUGGGAAUAUCACAGCAAUGUCCAGAUUUUCCUGGGCAAAGCAGAGGAAAUUGUGGCUGCAAGAGGUUUUGCAAACAGGUGGAUGGAGAAGCUGCCCCUGCCCACAGGAACAACUGGGACAGUCUCAACCUGGGAUUGUCACAGCCUGGGACGGCCACAGCCUGCCCACACUGAGGGUUUGAUGUGGCCACUGCCAGCUUCCAGCCUCCCUGAAGCCUCUGUCAAGCGGCCCUCCGUGCAUCAGCAGGACCCCCACACUGUGCACAGAGCACACGGAGAGGAGGAACAUGAGGAGAGCUGCAAAGAAGAGGGACAGUGUCUUUUAAGUGUCUUUUACAAGGAUAAAUAUAAUCUGUGGACUGAAGAAACUGAGUCAUACAGACGCUGUCACAAAAGGCCCCUAUUUUUGUUGCUGCUUUGCCUGGACGUGUCACGGGAGGAGGGAAGGGAUACAGUAACGUGCUUUUCAAUUUUGGCUGCAAAAUUUCCAUCAUUAUAAUUUCAAUUAAAAUUGCUCUUUGAAGCAGUUUGUCUUCAGGCUCAGCCACAUGAAUCUUUGCUUUCAUGAACACGGGAAACUAGAAAAAUAAAAAUGACCCUAUUUUAUCCGGCCCUGGUUUC